This 76-nucleotide transfer RNA is filed under the name [Eubacterium] yurii. RNAcentral's name for it is "tRNA_Val_TAC". It matches the Rfam family "tRNA". Rfam says of the family: Transfer RNA (tRNA) molecules are approximately 80 nucleotides in length. Their secondary structure includes four short double-helical elements and three loops (D, anti-codon, and T loops). RNAcentral also lists the same sequence under 1 other name. Lineage: Bacteria; Bacillati; Bacillota; Clostridia; Peptostreptococcales; Filifactoraceae. The record is from RNAcentral.
GGGCCUAUAGCUCAGCUGGGAGAGCAUCUGCCUUACAAGCAGGGGGUCACAGGUUCGAGCCCUGUUGGGCCCACCA